RNAcentral lists this unclassified non-coding RNA (239 nucleotides) under Hevea brasiliensis (rubber tree). Lineage: Eukaryota; Viridiplantae; Streptophyta; Magnoliopsida; Malpighiales; Euphorbiaceae. The record is from RNAcentral.
AAGCCAGACGGAUUGAAAACAAAUGGAGCCAUGAUCCAUGACACAACCAGGAACCAACUAAAGAUGGUCAUGGCUAUGUAAACGAAAGUGUCCUUAGCUAUAGCACUGUGUGAAGCAUAAACUGUGAGUAUCAGCCCAAGCUCAAUCGCCUUCACAAAAUGACUACGAGCGUAGAGUCUAUAAUUCUCUGCAAAACCCUUGUGCUGCACAACAAAACCACGACCAGUAGCCCGAUAUUU